GACGAACGCUGGCGGCGUGCUUAACACAUGCAAGUCGAACGGAAAGGCCCUGCUUUUGUGGGGUGCUCGAGUGGCGAACGGGUGAGUAACACGUGAGUAACCUGCCCUUGACUUUGGGAUAACUUCAGGAAACUGGGGCUAAUACCGGAUAGGAGCUCCUGCUGCAUGGUGGGGGUUGGAAAGUUUCGGCGGUUGGGGAUGGACUCGCGGCUUAUCAGCUUGUUGGUGGGGUAGUGGCUUACCAAGGCUUUGACGGGUAGCCGGCCUGAGAGGGUGACCGGCCACAUUGGGACUGAGAUACGACCCAGACUCCUACGGGAGGCAGCAGUGGGGAAUAUUGCACAAUGGGCGGAAGCCUGAUGCAGCAACGCCGCGUACGGGAUGACGGCCUUCGGGUUGUAAACCGCUUUCGCCUGUGACGAAGCGUGAGUGACGGUAAUGGGUAAAGAAGCACCGGCUAACUACGUG
This 468-nucleotide ribosomal RNA is filed under the name uncultured bacterium. RNAcentral describes it as "partial 16S ribosomal RNA". It matches the Rfam family "Bacterial small subunit ribosomal RNA", at positions 28 to 507 of the family's 1533-position model. The record is from RNAcentral.